Molecule: long non-coding RNA, 2336 nt
Organism: Amphiprion ocellaris (clown anemonefish)
Lineage: Eukaryota; Metazoa; Chordata; Actinopteri; Pomacentridae
Source: Ensembl
CUGCUUCUCUCCAGGCUCAGAUUCCCACAAAGACUCACAUGGCUUCACACGCUCUGCUCCCUCAUGGACUCUGCUUCCCCACUUCUGGAUUCCUUUUUCCUCGACCCUUUUUCUCCGUCUUGUGAGUAUCCCUUCUUCGUUUAUUUUUGUUAAUCCAGUUUAGUAUUGGUUGACUUCCGUUUCUGUAUUCGUAGUGUUUGCUGGGUUUUGAAUAGUUGGGUUUAGUUUUGUUUCCCCAGUUCAGCUCUCCAUUUAUGUACUAGUUUAGUUAUCUUUUUAAAUGAAACUCUUUCCAUUAUUCACCUGUCUGCAAGUCUCUCAGUGUCUGUGCCUGCGUUGUCCAACUCAGGGCCCAAACCGUCCCUUAAAUAAUCCUGGGUCCGUUUCACGAAGCAGGUUCAACAAACUCUGUGUAACCCUGAACUCUGAGUUGAUCUACUCUGAGAUACGAAACUCUGACUUUUUGGUUUAACAACGGCUGAUUGGAGUUGGUUUAAUCAACUCGGAGUAGUUUCACCCAGAGUGCACCGCAACUAUAAAAAGACAGCAUCAAUGGAACCCCGAUUCGACGAGUCACCAUGGUGACGGGGAAGCGGAGAGCUACGUUUUUUUUACACCACUUGAACUGGACAUCUUAAUGCGUUCAUAUGGCGACUUCGAACACGUUUUUAGAAAGAAGUGCAACACCUGCAGCUGCAAAAGAGAGGGAGACGGCGUGGGAGAACAUUGUUGCCCGGGUCAAUGCGUAAGUUUAAAUCACAAUAAUAUUACAGCAAAACUGUUUAAUAGCAGCCUAUUCUGUUAUUUCAUUUAGGUGCAAUCCUGCGGGGGAGAAGCGCAUGUGGCAGCAGCUGAAGAUGAAAUAUAAGAACAUUGUUCAAACGGCCAACAGAAAGAAAGGAGAUGCCUGUAAAAAGGAGGUGGCCCAGCAGCACCACCUGUAACGGAGGCAGAGGAGCUGCUCCUAAGCCAGAAUUUGGGAAGGCCAGUGGCUGAGGGAAUCCCUGGAGGGAGCUCAUCCUCUGAGACCACAUCCCAAGACACAAGUGUGUGUGUGCGUGCGUGUGUGUUCAUGCGCCCACUGAACAUUUGCCAUAAGGAAGCACAGAGCACUGCAUUGUUUCUGCCUACGAGCGAGUGUGUGUGCAGCCACAGCGAUGGCAUGCGUGAAGGGGUGUGCUUUAAAGAUGGUGAGUUUAAUUAGAGAUGAAAGGGCUGAUUGUUUAAUUGAUGGAAGGUGGACUGUUCCAUCAGGCUGAAAUGUGUGCGUGUUGACUCUUCUACUGUAGAAAAACAGAAAAAGUGGAAAAAAGCUACAUUUUUUGAGAAAACUAGGACAGCAUCUUAAGAGACACAUUAUAUUGUCAUUUAAAAACAAAUGAUAAAUAUAAUUUGCUAAUUUGAUCAGUCCUUUAUUGAAGAAAACUGGCGUGGAGGUUCAGAUACACACAUCUGGAUGACAAAAAAGAUAUUUAAAUGAUUUUCUAGUGCAGAUCUUUGCCUGUAUUUACUCAUGCCGUGCUAUAGAAGUGAGCAGAUCAUCCCUGCUGUGUUUUUACUGCUCAUCUCUCAGCAGGUCUUCCUUUGCCCCCGUCUUCUCAAGGUGGCACCGAGUUCUACGAGUGCCUCUGAGACUCUCCUCUAUAAAAAAAAUGGAGCAGCACAAGCCCUUUUGACAUCACACUUUCUGCUACCAGGAGAUUAGAAAGUGAAGGUGGAGCACUCCGGAGAAAACGCUCUCGGCAAGAGGAAAAGGUGCAACAGAAAAUUGGACCUUCCAAGCGUACUUGUGGAGAUGCAGGCUGAGGAGGAGCGGAACCGGCACCCAGCAUGAUGAGAACAUCUGGUUGCUCCUCAGCGAGGCAAGAGAGAAUGAAGCGGCCUUGCAGCGGGAGGAGAUGGUCCAGAAUGCUGCCUUCAACCAGUCAUUCCUGGGUGUACUGGGGCAGCUGGGGCAGGCAGUGCUGGGUGUACUGGGGCAGCUGGGGCAGGCAGUGGGCAGCCAGCGAGUCCACCUCCCAGAGACUUGAGAUUUAGUUGUAUAUAGUUUUACUUUUAGCCCUCCACUGUAGGAGAGGCCCACCACAGUUUGUACUUUGCACAUUGUAAAUGGUUUUGAUUUUGCUGCUGACUAAUAAACUAUUUUGUGACUUAUGUGAUUGCAUCAUAACUUUUCAUUUUGUCUGUUAAGACACUGGUAGGAAAAGAGUCAACAGUCUGAACCAAACAAUUCUGUAUUCCCUAAUAAUGCAUUUAUGUUUAAUGGGAUUUAACAUGUUUUAACACAAACUCCUUUAUGGUUCAUAAUUCCAUUGACUGAAUUACACCAAAGCAAU